RNAcentral lists this long non-coding RNA (619 nucleotides) under Heterocephalus glaber (naked mole-rat). Its description in RNAcentral is "lncRNA (ENSHGLG00000027097.2)". Lineage: Eukaryota; Metazoa; Chordata; Mammalia; Rodentia; Bathyergidae. The record is from RNAcentral.
UGAACUGUUCCCCGGCGUGGAGUGGAAGCCGGAGAAGACGCAGCCAUGAACGCUUCACCCGAGUCGGGAGAGCGCGCAGAGGGGACCCGCAGGUGGCGAAGCCUAACUGCCCAAGGCAAGUGGGGCUCGAGAGGACCUACAGACACCCUGGACGUGCGGAGGGGAGAAGGCUCCCUAGGCCCCAGAGCUCGUUGGCUCGAGGAGAGGGGCCUUUCGCUCCUGGAGGUAGCCAGUUAUCCGAGCUUCCCGCCCAGGGCCGUCUGCUUCGAGAUGCCCUGCCUGGCCUGUGUAGACGAUGAAAACUGCACAGGGGCCAGAUAGAGGCGGAAAGCGACACCGAGAAUCCAUUCCAAACGAGCAGCCAAGAGGAGACGAGGCAGCUCCCAGAUGUUGAUGCUUUGUUUUUUGACAUAAAUCUUUGCACUCAUGUGGGAGUUUUCAUUGAUUCAUGUUCCCAUCUGCUGAAUUUCCUUUUAUUUAUUUAAUAUGGCUUUUUGGGGAAAUCUUGCUCCGAAGCUCUGGAGGGGCAUAAACCGUGGCAACCGCUGCACCCCUCCUCCCUCCUGCCAACCUCGGCUGGGGGAGGGGGGUCGGUGGUGUCCAGAGGGGAGCGCGGCUC